UACGUAGGUGGCAAGCGUUGUCCGGAUUUACUGGGCGUAAAGAGCGCGCAGGCGGUCGUUCAAGUCGCGUGUGAAAGCCCCCGGCUCAACUGGGGAGGGUCACGCGAUACUGAUCGACUCGAAGGCAGGAGAGGGUAGUGGAAUUCCCGGUGUAGUGGUGAAAUGCGUAGAUAUCGUAAGGAAGACCAGUGGCGAAGGCGGGUCUCUGGACAGUUCCUGACGCUGAGGCACGAAGGUCAGGGGAGCAAACGGG
RNAcentral lists this ribosomal RNA (253 nucleotides) under uncultured bacterium. RNAcentral's name for it is "partial 16S ribosomal RNA". It matches the Rfam family "Bacterial small subunit ribosomal RNA", at positions 524 to 776 of the family's 1533-position model. The record is from RNAcentral.